GGGGCUACGCCUCUACUCUCCAACCCCUGUGACCUUACCCGCGUUGCUUCGGCGGCCGCGCCCCGGGCCCCGCGCCCGGAACCAGGCGCCCGCCGGGGGACCACAAACCAUGAAUCUUUCAGUAUCUUCUGAGUGGCACAAGCAAAAUAAAUUAAAACUUUCAACAACGGAUCUCUUGGCUCUGGCAUCGAUGAAGAACGCAGCGAAAUGCGAUAAGUAAUGUGAAUUGCAGAAUUCAGUGAAUCAUCGAAUCUUUGAACGCACAUUGCGCCCGCCAGUAUUCUGGCGGGCAUGCCUGUCCGAGCGUCAUUUCAACCCUCGCGCCCAUCCGGGCUGCGGUGUUGGGGACCGGCAUAACCCCCUCCGGGGGGCGCCGCCCCCCAAAUCCAGUGGCGGCCCCGCCGCUGCCUCCCUUGCGUAGUAGCACACCUCGCACCGGAGCGCGGCUCGGCCACGCCGUAAAACCCCCGACUCUCAGAGUUUGACCUCGGAUCAGGUAGGAAUACCCGCUGAACUUAAGCAUAUCAAUAAGCCGGAGGAA
This 541-nucleotide ribosomal RNA is filed under the name Eucasphaeria capensis. RNAcentral describes it as "eukaryotic LSU rRNA". The stretch from base 156 to 309 matches the Rfam family "5.8S ribosomal RNA". RNAcentral also lists the same sequence under 1 other name. Lineage: Eukaryota; Fungi; Ascomycota; Sordariomycetes; Hypocreales. The record is from RNAcentral.